This 2590-nucleotide long non-coding RNA is filed under the name Homo sapiens (human). RNAcentral's name for it is "HSALNT0328450". The record is from RNAcentral. Lineage: Eukaryota; Metazoa; Chordata; Mammalia; Primates; Hominidae.
AAAUAUUUUACUAGAUUGUAUUUAUGGUUAACAGUAUCUUGCACUACAAUUUAUAUUUAGAUAAUCAUUCAUUUUAAAAUUAUUUAUUGAGCACCUACUAUGUGUUAGGUAUUAGGUACAGAGCAAUGAAUACAGCAAGCACAGUUCCUCACCUCGUGGACCUGACACUGUAGUGUGAGAGAUAAUAAGCAAAUGAUAUAAGGCCAUGCAGUAGUUAAAUGCUAUGAAGAAACAUAAAAUCUGGUACAGGGACAGAGAGUAGGGAGGGAGCUCUUGUUAUAAAGGGUGGCCAGGAAAGACCAAGUUGUGUAGCAGAGGCCUGAAGGAAGCCAGGGACCAAGCCAUAUGAAUUUUCUCAGAUAGGUGUAUUCUAGUUAUAGAGAACAGCAACUGGAACGGUCCUGAGAAGGGAACAUUCCUGGAACAUUCAAGAACUAGCCAAGAGAUCAGCAAGUCUAUAGUAAAAAGAAACAUAGUAGAUAGUCAUCUAGUGUUUUCUUCUCUUCCUUCCUAUUAUCUCUCAUACCAUGUCAUGUUACUUUUCUAAAGGAUCUCAAUGGGGAAGAGAACAUCAUUGUCUUUAAGAUUCAAUUUUUUGUGUAUUGAAAGUCUUCAUGGUCAUUCUUUUGAGAUCAUGACCUACUACAACGUCCCCAGGCCUGCAUCCUCCACAGGCUCCAUGAGCAGAAAAGCAGACGAAUAGAAGAGCAGAGGAACAGAAGAAUAGCAGUGUGGCCGAGCAGCGUGGUAGAGAAAGAGGGAAGAGAAGCAGCAUCUGAAUGUUGAGAGGAGUUUGGCUGGGGACAGUCGGAGAGGAGAUUGGCCGCAGGACGACCCAACUCCAGGGGAGGAACAUCUUCCUACUCCAUUCGCUUCCCCACUCCCCAGCCAUUCCACUGAGAGCCACCUCCAUCUGGCAAUAAAAUCUCUUGCAUUCACUAUCCUUCAAUUUGCCUGUGUGACCUGAUUCUUCCUGGAUGCUGGACAAGAACCCAGCAUCCAGGUACCAAGAGGGCACUGGGCUGGAUAACACUUGAGCUGUCUGUGGACGGCAGAGCUAAAAGAGCACUGUAACAUGCCCACUGGGGCUUUGGGAGUUGCAGGCACCCACCCUGGAUGCUACUACCAUGGGGCUGGAGCCCAAAAGUGUUUGCCCCGCCUCCUGCACCUGCCCGUCUGCAUGCUCCCCCUCCAGUAAGGGGUUUGAGUGCACAGAGGCUGAACAGAUGAGCCACACCCCUGUCACACAUCCUGUGAAGGGGGUUAGGAAACUCUCCCAUUUCAUCUUGACCAUCUUUGAGGGACUAUUGAUGCUUUUGGUAUCAGCAGCCACAGAAUUCAUCAGACACAGCACAAAAGAGCAGGAGAAGAGAUAAUGGCAGAUGCCAGAAGGAGACGGGUUUGGCUCUGUGAUUCAUCAGAAAUAAGAAAAACAAACACUGUAAAUGGAGAACUUGAAAAAGAGGUGGGCACCAUCUCCCCACCCAAGAGAAUGGAUUUAAGAGGAAAUUUGUUUAUGGGAUGAAGUUUUAAAAGGCGACCUGGAAAAUUUAGCAAAGAUGUAAAUAAACAACUCUUCCUUGGAUUGCAUUAGGCUUCAGAAUAAAUAUAUUAACCAGCUUCAGUCAAAGUCUGCCUAGAAUCUGACCCUGACAAGACCCAGUGACUAGUGCUGCUCCGAACCUUCCCCACCAACAGCAGGCAAUUUUCUCUGUGGCAAAGCUACCUCGAAACAGGCAUCCAGGCUUCCCUCCCACGAAGUGAAGAUGAGAAAACUGAGUCUCAGAAUGGACAAGCUCACAGAUGGCAAGUGGUAGAGCAGACUUCACACAUAGCCAUCUGAGUGAGAUGGGAAGCUGAUCCUCCAGCCCUGAUCAAGCCUUCAAAUGACUGCACCUCCAGCUGACAGAUUACCAAAAGCAACCUCCUUCCAGAAGACCUUGAGCCAAAACCACUCAGCUAAGCUACUUCCAGAUCCCUGAUCCUCGGAAACUGUGCGAGACAAUAAAUGUUUAAAUGGCCACCCACUUUGGAAUAAAGAGGACAUAUAAUUUGCCUAAGGUCACAUAGCACUCUCUAAAUCAGUACAGUAUUUUAGACAAAGCUUCAACUUUGCACUUUUAUGGGUCAUUUUGAUAUAAGACUACAAGGAUAUCUCCUCCCAUGACAAACUUGACUUCAUUUACAACAAAAGGCCAAGCAAGAUACAGUACACUGUGGGGAUAAAUGGUACUCACUGAGGACAGGAAUAUGCUGACAUUAUCUCAAUUUCCUCCUCCCUCCUGUUGUUCUCCUUUGGAUGCUUUCCUGGACUAUAGGGAGAAGGAAAAUAGAGAAAGGCCAACUGCGACUAGGCCAGAGAUCAGAUGUUACCUUGUAGGAAGCAUCUCAUUCUAACCUUAAGUACUCUCUUGAUGAAGUACGGGGCCAAGAGAUUUUGGAAUUCUACCACACAAGGUUGCUCAGCAUUCCAAGAAGUAUUGAUAACUCUUCAAGAGCAAAAGUCAUUUAAAUUAAACUUCUCUGGCCGGGCAUGGUAGCUCAUAUCUGUAAACCCAGCACUUUGGGAGGCUGAGGCUGGAAGAUCACU